Molecule: ribosomal RNA, 440 nt
Filed under: uncultured bacterium
Lineage: Bacteria
Description: partial 16S ribosomal RNA
Rfam family: Bacterial small subunit ribosomal RNA
Source: RNAcentral
CCUACGGGUGGCAGCAGUGGGGAAUAUUGCACAAUGGGGGAAACCCUGAUGCAGCGACGCCGCGUGAGUGAAGAAGUAUUUCGGUAUGUAAAGCUCUAUCAGCAGGGAAGAAAAUGACGGUACCUGAUUAAGAAGCCCCGGCUAACUACGUGCCAGCAGCCGCGGUAAUACGUAGGGGGCAAGCGUUAUCCGGAUUUACUGGGUGUAAAGGGAGCGUAGACGGCAGCGCAAGUCUGAAGUGAAAUGCCGGGGCUUAACCCCAGAACUGCUUUGGAAACUGUGUAGCUAGAGUGCAGGAGAGGUAAGUGGAAUGCGUAGUGUAGCGGUGAAAUGCGUAGAUAUUAGGAAGAACACCAGUGGCGAAGGCGGAUUACUGGACUGUAACUGACGUUGAGGCUCGAAAGCGUGGGGAGCGAACAGGAUUAGAUACCCCGGUAGUC